CUCUGCUUCUAAACUUUACCUCCAGGGCCAGGCGAGUUCAGGCACGUUCCUGGUAGAAGGUGCUCUGAUGCUGCGGAAGACAGUUUCUUCAUGGAUUCCAACUGCUUGAUUUGUGGGAAUGACUCCACCAUGCCUGUUCUCCCCACCUUUGGAUCUCACCUUCAGCUCUGGGAAGAAAGCCCAUUAAGCAACCACGAGGCAGUAAAGAAGGCAGGAAGAGACAGGAAUGGUCAGAGUAUAUUGAAAAACCUUCCUCAGUCAGUCUCCCAAAUGUGCGGUGUAUGCUGGAAUCACCCGGGGUCAUCUGUACGGAUGCCACCUCGAGGACCACAGGAUCUCAGGUGGUGAUCAGGAAUCUGCAUUUCACCAGCCCCUGUCCCCGCCCCAUCCCCAGGUCACGCUUUUGGAAAUCUGUUCACAAUGUGUCCCUCCCCUUCUUUCUUCCUUUUAUUAACUAGAUGUUAAGAUGCUUGGAGUCACACUCAAGAGUGUGUGGAGUAAGUCUUCUCGUGAGACUUAGGCCCUUGUUUCUCAGCACCAAGUAAACAUUUCUAGCCUUUCUGUUUCUCACAGAACAAUCCAUUUCAAAGCCGUAUCUCCGAGGAGGCAAGGGUUUUCUCUAGACCGCACAGCAUCACUGUCUCUGGGCCCUGAGGCUGUUGGAGCGGUGGGUACAGAUGUGCCGAAGGUGCCAGCUCAUGCCCUGAGGCUGCUGCUGAGCUGCUCUGACUGGAAACCAGCACUGAGCCUCGUGUGCACAGAGAAAAUCACUGCGGAGUUCAAAGGACGAAAGACCCUUUGAACUUCAUCGAUACCCAUGGCAGUCGCUUGGAGAAUAAAACCAGUGCAUUUUUAUUUUUUAUUUAUUUUUAUUUUUCAAGAUGGAGUCUUGCACUGUUGCCCAGUCUGGAGUGCAGUGGCGCAAUCUCAGCUCACUGCAAGCUCCGCUCCCUGGGUUCACGCCAUUCUCCUGCCUCAGCCUCCUGAGUAACUGGGACUACAGGCCCCCACCACCACGCCCGGCUGAUUUUUUGUACUUUUAGUAGAGACGGGGUUUCAUCCUGUUAUCCAGGAUGGGCUUGAUCUCCUGACCUUAUGAUCCACCCACCUUGGCCUCCCAAAGUGCUGGGAUCACAGGCAUGAGCCACCGCGCCCGGCCAAACCAGUGCAUUAUUAACACAUGUUUCAAGCCAUUGAAUGCAGACCUGCAGUCUCAAAGCAGAUCCCAGAACACCUUAGCUUGUAUUUGUCCCUGAGGCCCGGCAGAUGCUAGCAGUCCUGCCCCACACUUUCACUCCUUCACCCUGUUUGACAGGCUAAACCCUAGGAUGACCAUAUAAUUAUUCAAACCACAUAAUGUUGAGAGUGAAAAGGAUGCAGUUGAAUUGAACAAAAAUAUAUACCAGACUGUCCUGGACACUCAAUCUAAUGCCCACUUUCUUAAGAGAAGAAACAUGAGAUUGUUGGUGUAAAUGAAGAUAAACCCUGUGGCUCUGGCCAGUUUGAUAAGAGGAGUGAGGAGAGAUGUAUAUUUCUGCCAUGUAAUUCUCAGCCCAGGGGAGGCUGAGGGACCAGCCUUUGCUCUACCGAACUUUGGGCAACCACUGGCUUGCCUGGUCUCGUCUCCUGCUCUGUAACAUGGACUGACCUUUCAGAUCAUUUCUGGGGCUCUGUACUAAUGAAGGAGUUGUGGGUUCCUGUUUCCUUUCUCCUUUUUCUCCCUCUUUUCCUCUAGCACCUAGGCCUCAUUUUCGCAUCAGCUUGUGAACGCAGCACUGUCGUCAUUAUUAUUAAUUUCAAAACUCCUGUUUUAACAUGCAAAGUGACCCAGUUACAAAAUCAAAACUGGUUUUAAUUGUGGGCAUGCCAUUACUAUGUGGCAUUCUAUUCUCAGCUGUUUACAUGCCGCUUUCCUCAAGCACAGUGUAUAAUAAGUCCCUUUCCACGACGCUGGGAGCUUACAGAUUCCUUUACUGCGAAGACCUGCAUAGUUGGAAGGUGCCAGAGAAGUGAAUUAUAGCAACUGAAUUGAGCUCUUCAAGUUCUGGCAACAGCCAGGAAGCUAAAAAGAAGCUUUCUCUUAAUGGUGGCAGGAGCCCAGAACGACCGACCUCAGCUUAGAGUGAUUAAGAGUAUUUCUGAAUUUCACCCUCCUCCUAUCUGAAACAGCAGCCAAGAUUGAAGGGCAGGGGCGAAAUGCUGCAAACUGCACCAGGAAAGGGGAGGAUUAGAGGAGACUGAACAGCUUCCCUAAACCCUUGCUGCUCUAUGCAGAGAUGAUGUCACCAGGAGCUCUACAAGACAAAGAGAUGCUUUAGGUAUGCAAUUUGCUAAUGUCUUGAUACAGCUGCUUAUUUAAAAUCAUCCUUGGGGCCAGGUAUG
Long non-coding RNA from Cercocebus atys (sooty mangabey), 2382 nucleotides. The record is from Ensembl. Lineage: Eukaryota; Metazoa; Chordata; Mammalia; Primates; Cercopithecidae.